AUUGAACGCUGGCGGCAUGCCUUUACACAUGCAAGUCGAACGGCAGCACGGGAGCAAUCCUGGUGGCGAGUGGCGAACGGGUGAGUAAUACAUCGGAACGUGCCCAGUAGUGGGGGAUAACCCGGCGAAAGCCGGACUAAUACCGCAUACGACCUACGGGUGAAAGCAGGGGAUCGCAAGACCUUGCGCUAUCGGAGCGGCCGAUGUCAGAUUAGCUUGUUGGCGGGUAAAAGCCCACCAAGGCGACGAUCUGUAGCUGGUCUGAGAGGACGACCAGCCACACUGGGACUGAGACACGGCCCAGACUCCUACGGGAGGCAGCAGUGGGGAAUUUUGGACAAUGGGCGCAAGCCUGAUCCAGCC
This 363-nucleotide ribosomal RNA is filed under the name uncultured bacterium. RNAcentral describes it as "bacterial SSU rRNA". It matches the Rfam family "Bacterial small subunit ribosomal RNA", at positions 29 to 393 of the family's 1533-position model. The record is from RNAcentral.